Long non-coding RNA from Oxyura jamaicensis (ruddy duck), 358 nucleotides. RefSeq lists it as uncharacterized. The record is from RefSeq and is a predicted model, not a curated record. The transcript is spliced from 2 exons. Lineage: Eukaryota; Metazoa; Chordata; Aves; Anseriformes; Anatidae.
AUGGUUGUUCACGAUCUAGUGCCACUAUGUAGAAACAAAGUCAAAAGACACCCGACACCCCUGCUCCCCCCCCCACCCUUUCCCCCCCCCCCCCCCCCAAAAAAAAAAAAAAAAAAAAAACAUUUUUUGGGCUACACAUAAUGUGUUUGCAGGGCCUAAACUUUCUUUUGCCAGAUGAGCAAAGCUUCCCAAGUUCUCCCUCCUCAGAGCGACCAGAAGUUUCUAUUAAUUGCUAGGAUGAUGAGCUAGUUUUUGGCUUGUAGACCUCUGUUCUUCCAUUAUUCCAGUCAGACCCUGAAUUCUGCUCAUUUAAAGACUCAUGAGAAUUGCCUAAGACUUUUAUAUAGAAGUCCCUCCU